UGGUAAUACAAGAAAAAUAUGAAUGUUGAGAUGAUCUUUACAACUUGUCCAGAAAUUAAUAGUCCGAAGAGUUCAUCGAAGAUAUUAUAAAAGCAAAACAGAACUCUAUAAUCAAUGAACAAUAAUUUUUCUUACAACCCAUUUACAUUCCUCUCCAAAAACCAUGUUUUCUAAUAUCUGAUACACAAAAUAGAUCAAUUUACAAGUAAAACAUCCACAUUAUUACUAACAUAUCAAAAUAUUCCAGUUCAACCAUCAAUGCAUUUAAAACCCCUGCAAAUCAACACCCAAAUCCCAAACAAAACAGCACAAAUAACCAAAUCCAAUGCCAAAAUCACCAAAACGUGCUUCUUCCAAAUCUGCUUGGCCUUGUGCUUGUUAUCACCCAAAUGAUAC
This 396-nucleotide unclassified non-coding RNA is filed under the name Hevea brasiliensis (rubber tree). Lineage: Eukaryota; Viridiplantae; Streptophyta; Magnoliopsida; Malpighiales; Euphorbiaceae. The record is from RNAcentral.